CAAGGAAUAGUUUAAUUAGAAUGCUAGCUUUGGGUGUUAGCGGUGGAGUAUAAAUCUUCUUCCUUGA
This 67-nucleotide transfer RNA is filed under the name Dendrogale murina (Northern smooth-tailed tree shrew). RNAcentral's name for it is "tRNA-Pro". The record is from RNAcentral. Lineage: Eukaryota; Metazoa; Chordata; Mammalia; Scandentia; Tupaiidae.